UUCGAUAUAAAUAAUGUUUACCAGAGUACUACGAAUAAAAGUUUAAAACUCAAAGGGCUUGGCGGUGCUUUAGACUUCUCAGGGGAACCUGUCUCGUAAUCGACAGUCCACGAAUCAACCUCACCUUCAUGCAGUAUGUAUACCGUCGUCGUCAGGUAACUUUUAAAAAUAAAGAAGUUAGCAAGUUUUUACGUCAGAUCAAGGUGCAGCUUAUGGGAAGGAGAAGAUGGGUUACAAUUAAAAUUUAUAAUUACGGAUGCUAGUUUUUGAAGGCGGACUUGAAAGUACAAGUUAGUAGUCAAAUAGUUUGAAUUUAGCUCUGAAGCG
Molecule: ribosomal RNA, 327 nt
Filed under: Echinolittorina peregrinator
Lineage: Eukaryota; Metazoa; Mollusca; Gastropoda; Littorinimorpha; Littorinidae
Description: partial 12S ribosomal RNA
Source: RNAcentral